Molecule: small nucleolar RNA, 78 nt
Organism: Candoia aspera
Lineage: Eukaryota; Metazoa; Chordata; Lepidosauria; Squamata; Candoiidae
Product: small nucleolar RNA SNORD102
Exons: 1
Source: RefSeq, a predicted model, not a curated record
UGCUUGAUGAUGACUCUCUCCUAUGAUUGCUUUGUAAUAAAGCAAAUUGAGCAAAACAUUUCACCGGCACUGAAAGCA